This 496-nucleotide ribosomal RNA is filed under the name uncultured bacterium. RNAcentral describes it as "partial 16S ribosomal RNA". It matches the Rfam family "Bacterial small subunit ribosomal RNA", at positions 28 to 506 of the family's 1533-position model. The record is from RNAcentral.
GAUGAACGCUGGCGGCGUGCCUAAUACAUGCAAGUCGAGCGAACAGACGAGGAGCUUGCUCCUCUGACGUUAGCGGCGGACGGGUGAGUAACACGUGGAUAACCUACCUAUAAGACUGGGAUAACUUCGGGAAACCGGAGCUAAUACCGGAUAAUAUAUUGAACCGCAUGGUUCAAUAGUGAAAGACGGUUUUGCUGUCACUUAUAGAUGGAUCCGCGCCGCAUUAGCUAGUUGGUAAGGUAACGGCUUACCAAGGCAACGAUGCGUAGCCGACCUGAGAGGGUGAUCGGCCACACUGGAACUGAGACACGGUCCAGACUCCUACGGGAGGCAGCAGUAGGGAAUCUUCCGCAAUGGGCGAAAGCCUGACGGAGCAACGCCGCGUGAGUGAUGAAGGUCUGCGGAUCGUAAAACUCUGUUAUUAGGGAAGAACAAAUGUGUAAGUAACGAUGCACGUCUGGACGGUACCUAAGCAGAAAGCAACGGCUAACUACGU